UUACGGCCAUCUCCCGUUGAAACACCGGUUAUCGUACGAUGACGGAAGUUAAGCAACGUCCAUCCUGGUCAGUACCUAGAUGGGUGACCACUUGGGAAUACUAGGUGCUGUAAG
Non-coding RNA from Acanthosepion pharaonis, 114 nucleotides. The record is from the annotation of a GenBank genome assembly. NCBI's taxonomy places the organism in Eukaryota, Metazoa, Mollusca, Cephalopoda, Sepiida, Sepiidae.